This 1001-nucleotide unclassified non-coding RNA is filed under the name Hevea brasiliensis (rubber tree). The record is from RNAcentral. Lineage: Eukaryota; Viridiplantae; Streptophyta; Magnoliopsida; Malpighiales; Euphorbiaceae.
CGAUAAGAGCUAAAUUCCGGCCUCUCCAAUUAAUUAUGAUUCCCAUGCUCCACGGUUACCAAGACAAAUCCUAGUGGCUAUAGGAAAUCUAAAAUCUUUUCGUCAGCCAAACUGGGAUUAGAUACGCCGCCGCACAUACGCCAACAAGACCACAUCCCUAUAAAUACACUCUCUGUUCCUCAGCUUUCUGCAGUUUAGUCUUCUAGGGUUUUUCUUUAUCUUCUCUUCAGUCAUCGGCAAUGACACAGCCACAGCCAAUCAUGUCUUCGUCUUCUUCAUCAUCUAAGAUGAAAAUCACCCUGAAGUGCUCGGACGGCCAUAUAUUCGAAGUGGAGCAGAAAGUCUUGUUUGAGUGCCGAACCAUCAAGCACAUGAUAGACGAUGGCUGCGCCGACUCCGCCAUCCCAUUGCCCAAUGUGACCGGAAAAAUCAUGGCAAAAGUCAUUGAGUACUGCAAGAAGCAUAUGGAGGCGGCCGCUGAAAUCAGGGAUAUGAAUUUUUUCAGCAAUGACUUUCGUGAUCUCAAGAAUUGGGAUGAUGCGUUUGUGAAGGAAGUUAUGGAGAACCAAGAUAUUCUCUUUGACUUGAUAAUGGCUGCAAACUAUCUGGACAUCAAGAACCUGUUGGAUUUGCUGUGUAAAGGCAUCGCUGAUAUGAUGAGGGGAAAGACUCCCGAGCAGAUUCGUCAGAUUUUUCACAUCAAGAAUGACUACACGCCUUACGAAGAAGCGGAAGUUCGCAGGGAGAAUCAGUGGGCUUUUGAGUAGUAUAGUGAUUAACCCACCAACCUCUUUAUCUAACUGGAUAUCUCUUAUAGCGAUAGGCUUUAUGUAGGUUAUUUUAGGGUUUAUUCAACAGUUUCUUAUUAAAGUUUUGUGAUGGCUUCCUUUUGGUAAUAGUGUAUGGAUGAUUAGCCAUCUUCUAGGGAUCCUUAAUUUUUGAACCGGAAAUCAUUAUUAAAUAAUGCUCAAAAAGUAAACCCUUUUGACAGUGAAAAGGAG